UUUGAUCCUGGCUCAGGACGAACGCUGGCGGCGUGCCUAAUACAUGCAAGUCGAGCGAACCACUUCGGUGGUUAGCGGCGGACGGGUGAGUAACACGUGGGCAACCUGCCUGUAAGACUGGGAUAACUUCGGGAAACCGGAGCUAAUACCGGAUAAUCCUUUUCCUCUCAUGAGGRAAAGCUGAAAGACGGUUUCGGCUGUCACUUACAGAUGGGCCCGCGGCGCAUUAGCUAGUUGGUGAGGUAACGGCUCACCAAGGCGACGAUGCGUAGCCGACCUGAGAGGGUGAUCGGCCACACUGGGACUGAGACACGGCCCAGACUCCUACGGGAGGCAGCAGUAGGGAAUCUUCCACAAUGGACGAAAGUCUGAUGGAGCAACGCCGCGUGAGCGAUGAAGGCCUUCGGGUCGUAAA
RNAcentral lists this ribosomal RNA (415 nucleotides) under Bacillus sp. R-32699. Its description in RNAcentral is "bacterial SSU rRNA". It matches the Rfam family "Bacterial small subunit ribosomal RNA", at positions 12 to 429 of the family's 1533-position model. The record is from RNAcentral. Lineage: Bacteria; Bacillati; Bacillota; Bacilli; Caryophanales; Bacillaceae.